This is a non-coding RNA of Pelobates cultripes (western spadefoot toad), 1103 nucleotides long. The record is from the annotation of a GenBank genome assembly. NCBI's taxonomy places the organism in Eukaryota, Metazoa, Chordata, Amphibia, Anura, Pelobatidae.
GCAACUCUAUUUUUUUCACUUUUUUGUUAGUGGGGCCUCAUGUUUGAGUUUCGCCUAAGGCCUCAUAAAGUCUAGACCUGCCUCUGCAAAAGGAGCCUCAGAAGAAAAAGAAGACUGUCAAAUGAAGGAGAAGAAAAUGAGAUUGGAGCACUUCAUUCUGGACAGCACAUCAUAAGGCUUUGGUACCUGGGCCUGGCAGGGAAACUUUGGACCUUCUCAUCUCCCCAGGUAAAAAAAAAAUUAUCAGUGUUAAUGUGUUCACUUUAAUUUACUGAGUGUCAGGAAACACAGAGGGUCACUGGGUAGGGGUGCCGCUGAUUGGCUAGAGGGUCAGCUGGCACUCUAAGCCAAUCAGUAGCUCCCCAUUCAUGAAAACGUAAAACAUUUUUAUGAAUCGGGAACUAGCGAUUGGCUUAGAGCGUCAGCUGACCACUCUAGCCUGACGUCAAUUUGCAGUUCCUGACACUCCGUUUAAGAAGCUGAAUACCACUGAGCGACCUGGAGAUCUGGAGCUGGAGGGAGCCUUUGGGGGUAAACCAUUCAAGAGUGGUUUCACCCUAUAAAGGAAAGACAGCGCCCAGGGGCCUCCUUGCAUCAUAGCAUUUUCAUUUAGUUGAAGUUGUUAUGGUGACCAGAAUGUUCCUUUAAUUUGAUUAAAGGAACAUUAUAGUGUCAGGAAUACAAACAUAUAUUCCUGACACCAUAGUUGUAAAAAAGCUAUUCAUACUGGCUUUAUGUGAAAAUGACUAUGCUCCUUCCCUUUCAUGACACUAUCAUAAGGGAUAGACAGUUCAUUGUUUUUACACAACCAUUUUUUGGAAUCUAAUACCCUUUAUAUUCUCAUUUCAAUUUAACCAGAUUCAUCAAGACACCAAAGACUCCAUUCAAGAUGUCAUCAUCGUCUUGUCAUGGAAGAUUGUCACUUGACAUCGAGAAGUCUUCGCUUGGAGACUAUCUGUUUAUGUUCAGUUUACACGUUGUUCUACCACUAUCUUACCAUGGACCUUUACGAGCUAUCUGCUAUUCUGCAUUGUGAUAUUGUGAUGUUGCAUGCUUUAAGAGGAAAUGAUGUCAUAUGUUACACCUCUUAUACUCUAUACUGC